This 1528-nucleotide long non-coding RNA is filed under the name Lonchura striata (white-rumped munia). RNAcentral describes it as "domestica (Bengalese finch) lncRNA (ENSLSDG00000001215.1)". Lineage: Eukaryota; Metazoa; Chordata; Aves; Passeriformes; Estrildidae. The record is from RNAcentral.
AAUAAUAUAUGAGAAUUGGAUAGGAAUAAUAUAUGAGAAUUGGAUAGGAAUAAUACAUGAAUAUAUGAGAAUUCGAUAGGAAUAAUACAUGAAUAUAUGAGAAUUGGAUAGGAAUAACACAUGAGAAUUGGAUAGGAAUAAUACAUGAGAAUUCGAUAGUAAUAAUACAUGAAUAUAUGAGAAUUGGAUAGGAAUAAUACAUGAAAAUUCGAUAGUAAUAAUACAUGAGAAUUGGAUAGGAAUAAUACAUGAAUAUAUGAGAAUUCAAUAGGAAUAACACAUGAGAAUUGGAUAGGAAUACGAUGGGAAGGUGCCAUAGGAAUGAUACAGAGCGCACAUGACGAGCGCACGGUAACCGCUGUCCGUGUGUCCGUGUGUCCGUGUGUCCGUGUGUGUGUCCGUGUGUCCAUCUGUCCGUGUGUCCGUGUCCAUGUGUGUGUCCGUGUGUCCAUCUGUCCGUGUGUCCGUGUGUCCGUCCGUCUGUCCGUGUGUCCGUGUGUCCAUGUGUGUCCGUGUGUCCAUGUGUCCGUCUGUGUGUCCGUCCGUCCGUGUGUCCAUGUGUGUGUCCGUGUGUGUGUCUGUGUGUCCGUCUGUCCGUGUCCGUGUGUCCGUGUGUCCGUGUGUCUGUCUGUCCGUGUGUCCGUGUGUGUGUGUCCGUCCGUCCGUGUGUCCGUGUGUCCGUCCGUCCGUGUGUCCGUGUCCGUGUGUCUGUCCGUGUGUCCGUCCAUCUGUCUGUCCGUGUGUGUGUCCGUGUGUGUCUGUCUGUCUGUCCGUCUGUCUGUCUGUCCGUCUGUCCGUGUCCGUGUGUCCGUGUGUCUGUCUGUCUGUCUGUCCAUCUGUCCGUGUCCGUGUGUCCGUGUGUCCGUCCGUCUGUCUGUCCGUGUGUCCGUGUGUCCGUCUGUCUGUCCGUGUGUCCGUGUGUCCGUGUGUCCCUCUGUCUGUCCGUGUGUCUGUCCGUCUGUCCGUGUCCCUCUGUCUGUCCGUGUGUCCGUGUUCGUGUCCGUCUGUCUGUCCGUGUGUCCGUGUGUCCGUCUGUCUGUCCGUGUGUCCGUGUGUCCGUGUGUCCCUCUGUCUGUCCGUGUGUCCGUGUCCGUGUCCGUCUGUCUGUCCGUGUGUCCGUGUCCGUGUGUCCGUGUUCCCGCAGCAUCACGCUGCACCUGAAGAUCUCGUGCCCGGCGUCUCCCGCCUUCGAGCUCCCGCGCGGCGCCGGCGCCGUUCCGCAGGCCCAGCCCUGGUUUGGGAGAGCUGGAAUCGAUUUUUUUCUCAUUUUUCCUGGAUGAAUCCUCGUUUUUCCUGGAUGAAUGCUCGUUUUUCCUGGAUGAAUCCUCGUUUUUCCUGGAUGAAUCCUCGUUUUUCCUGGAUGAAUCCUGUUUCUUCCCUCCCAGAGUCCCCAGGCCCUUCCCGUGAGCAGAACCGACCUGACCCCGGCACCAGCAGCAGCCCCAAACCUCAGAGACUCGAAGGCUGUUUCCUCUUCAGGGCAUUUCUUGUUUUGGUUCUGGCACUGGACUCGAGGCAGUGCCAAACC